Molecule: non-coding RNA, 110 nt
Filed under: Bacillus cereus
Lineage: Bacteria; Bacillati; Bacillota; Bacilli; Caryophanales; Bacillaceae
Description: TPP sequence
Rfam family: TPP riboswitch aptamer (THI element)
About the family: Vitamin B(1) in its active form thiamin pyrophosphate (TPP) is an essential coenzyme that is synthesised by coupling of pyrimidine and thiazole moieties in bacteria. The previously detected thiamin-regulatory element, thi box was extended, resulting in a new, highly conserved RNA secondary structure, the THI element, which is widely distributed in eubacteria and also occurs in some archaea.
Source: RNAcentral
AAGAAAGCACAUGGGAGUUUGCGGAUGCAGACUGAGAGUACGGCUAAUCUGUCGUUGACCAUUAGAACCUGUUGGAUAAUGCCAGCGUAGGGAGAGUGUAAAAAAACACA